RNAcentral lists this ribosomal RNA (645 nucleotides) under uncultured bacterium. RNAcentral's name for it is "bacterial SSU rRNA". It matches the Rfam family "Bacterial small subunit ribosomal RNA", at positions 232 to 885 of the family's 1533-position model. The record is from RNAcentral.
CGCGGCCUAUCAGCUUGUUGGUGAGGUAACGGCUCACCAAGGUAACGACGGGUAGCUGGUCUGAGAGGACGAUCAGCCACACUGGGACUGAGACACGGCCCAGACUCCUACGGGAGGCAGCAGCAGGGAAUAUUGCACAAUGGGCGCAAGCCUGAUGCAGCGACGCCGCGUGAGGGAUGAAGGCCCUCGGGUUGUAAACCUCUUUCAGGAGGGACGAAGCGAAAGUGACGGUACCUCCAGAAGAAGCCCCGGCCAACUACGUGCCAGCAGCCGCGGUACUACGUAGGGGGCGAGCGUUGUCCGGAUUCAUUGGGCGUAAAGAGCUCGUAGGCGGCUCAGUAAGUCGGCCGUGAAAGCCCGGAGCUCAACUCCGGGACGCCGGUCGAUACUGCUGUGGCUAGGGUCCGGUAGAGGAGAGUGGAAUUCCCGGUGUAGCGGUGAAAUGCGCAGAUAUCGGGAGGAACACCAGUAGCGAAGGCGGCUCUCUGGGCCGGUACCGACGCUGAGGAGCGAAAGCUAGGGGAGCAAACAGGAUUAGAUACCCUGGUAGUCCUAGCCGUAAACGUUGGGCACUAGGUGUGGCGGAUUCAUUGACAUCUGCCGUGCCGGCGCUAACGCAUUAAGUGCCCCGCCUGGGGAGUACGG